This 484-nucleotide ribosomal RNA is filed under the name uncultured bacterium. Its description in RNAcentral is "partial 16S ribosomal RNA". It matches the Rfam family "Bacterial small subunit ribosomal RNA", at positions 30 to 507 of the family's 1533-position model. The record is from RNAcentral.
AUUGAACGCUGGCGGCAGGCCUAACACAUGCAAGUCGAGCGGAUGAAGGGAGCUUGCUCCUGGAUUCAGCGGCGGACGGGUGAGUAAUGCCUAGGAAUCUGCCUGGUAGUGGGGGAUAACGUCCGGAGACGGGCGCUAAUACCGCAUACGUCCUGAGGGAGAAAGUGGGGGAUCUUCGGACCUCACGCUAUCAGAUGAGCCUAGGUCGGAUUAGCUAGUUGGUGGGGUAAAGGCCUACCAAGGCGACGAUCCGUAACUGGUCUGAGAGGAUGAUCAGUCACACUGGAACUGAGACACGGUCCAGAAUCCUACGGGAGGCAGCAGUGGGGAAUAUUGGACAAUGGGCGAAAGCCUGAUCCAGCCAUGCCGCGUGUGUGAAGAAGGUCUUCGGAUUGUAAAGCACUUUAAGUUGGGAGGAAGGGCAGUAAGUUAAUACCUUGCUGUUUUGACGUUACCAACAGAAUAAGCACCGGCUAACUUCGUG